RNAcentral lists this long non-coding RNA (226 nucleotides) under Capsicum annuum. Its description in RNAcentral is "long non-coding RNA (CANN_LNC011673)". The record is from RNAcentral. Lineage: Eukaryota; Viridiplantae; Streptophyta; Magnoliopsida; Solanales; Solanaceae.
GAGGGAAUACUCUUUCACACUCAUACUACCCUGCUUGAGAUUGAUGAACUCUAAUACCUUGGUUUGUCUUAGCUCUAGGGGAAAGAAUCUAUCUAGGAAAGCAAUAGCAAACUCUUCACACUCUAUGGGCUCUGCAUCUGUGGCCCUGUCUACCUUCUACUAAUUAAACCACGUAUGAGCUACAUCUUGUAGCUGUAGGCAGCUAACUCAACACUCUCACUGGAAG